AGCUCCAAUAGCGUAUAUUAAAGCUGUUGCAGUUAAAAAGCUCGUAGUUGGAUUUCGGGGUGAGAUGAGCCCGGUCCACCGCAAGUUCGGUGAGUACCGGCUCGUCCACCUCCUCCCUCUGGUGCCCCGUCCUUUCCCGUUGACUCGGGUUAAGGGCGUUGAGGGAGGAAAAGGGGGGCAACUCCUUUUUUCUUCCGGGGCCCAGACCUUUUACCUUGAGGAAAUUAGAGUGUUCAAAGCGGGCGCGAAAAAUCUCGCCGUUGAAUACGUCAGCAUGGGAUAAUGGAAUAGGACCCCGUUCCUGUUUCCGUUGGUUUAUCAUUGGGAAUGGGGUAAUGAUUGAUAGGGAUAGUUGGGGGCAUCGAUAUUUAAUUGUCAGAGGUGAAAUUCUUGGAUUUAUGAAAGAUCGACUUCCGCGAAAGCAUUUGCCAAGGAUGUUUUCA
RNAcentral lists this ribosomal RNA (443 nucleotides) under uncultured eukaryote. RNAcentral's name for it is "SSU rRNA". It matches the Rfam family "Eukaryotic small subunit ribosomal RNA", at positions 587 to 972 of the family's 1831-position model. The record is from RNAcentral.